ACGUAGGUGGCAAGCGUUGUCCGGAUUUAUUGGGCGUAAAGCGAGCGCAGGCGGUUUCUUAAGUCUGAUGUGAAAGCCCCCGGCUCAACCGGGGAGGGUCAUUGGAAACUGGGAGACUUGAGUGCAGAAGAGGAGAGUGGAAUUCCAUGUGUAGCGGUGAAAUGCGUAGAUAUAUGGAGGAACACCAGCGGCGAAGGCGGCUCUCUGGUCUGUAACUGACGCUGAGGCUCGAAAGCGUGGGGAGCAAACAG
RNAcentral lists this ribosomal RNA (251 nucleotides) under uncultured bacterium. RNAcentral describes it as "partial 16S ribosomal RNA". It matches the Rfam family "Bacterial small subunit ribosomal RNA", at positions 525 to 775 of the family's 1533-position model. The record is from RNAcentral.